This 653-nucleotide ribosomal RNA is filed under the name uncultured Pseudomonadota bacterium. Its description in RNAcentral is "bacterial SSU rRNA". It matches the Rfam family "Bacterial small subunit ribosomal RNA", at positions 269 to 916 of the family's 1533-position model. Lineage: Bacteria; Pseudomonadati; Pseudomonadota. The record is from RNAcentral.
CAAGGCGACGAUCAGUAGCUGGUCUGAGAGGACGACCAGCCACACUGGGACUGAGACACGGCCCAGACUCCUACGGGAGGCAGCAGUGGGGAAUUUUGGACAAUGGGCGCAAGCCUGAUCCAGCCAUGCCGCGUGCGGGAAGAAGGCCUUCGGGUUGUAAACCGCUUUUGGCAGGAACGAAACGGCGCGAGCGAAUAUCUCGCGUUAAUGACGGUACCUGCAGAAUAAGCACCGGCUAACUACGUGCCAGCAGCCGCGGUAAUACGUAGGGUGCAAGCGUUAAUCGGAAUUACUGGGCGUAAAGCGUACGCAGGCGGCUUUGCAAGACAGGUGUGAAAUCCCCGGGCCUAACCUGGGAACUGCAUUUGUGACUGCAUGGCUAGAGUUUGUCAGAGGGGGUGGAAUUCCACGUGUAGCAGUGAAAUGCGUAGAUAUGUGGAGGAACACCGAUGGCGAAGGCAGCCCCCUGGGAUGUGACUGACGCUCAUGUACGAAAGCGUGGGGAGCAAACAGGAUAAGAUACCCUGGUAGUCCACGCCCUAAACGAUGUCGACUAGUUGUCGGAGGGUAACUCCUUCGGUAACGCAGCUAACGCGUGAAGUCGACCGCCUGGGGAGUACGGUCGCAAGAUUAAAACUCAAAGGAAUUGACGG